UCUCCGUUGGUGAACCAGCGGAGGGAUCAUUAGCGAGUUUACGCACUCCAAACCCACUGUGAACAGUUCCACGUUGCUUCGGCGGGCGGCCCCUCGGGGUCACGUCGCCCCUCGUUAGGGGUGCCCGCCAGAAGACCGACCAAACUCGUUUUCUUUUAGUGGACAUUCUGAGUAUAAGCUUCUAAACAGACAAAACUUUCAACAACGGAUCUCUUGGUUCUGGCAUCGAUGAAGAACGCAGC
RNAcentral lists this unclassified non-coding RNA (242 nucleotides) under uncultured fungus. RNAcentral's name for it is "sequence contains ITS1, 5.8S rRNA gene". The stretch from base 194 to 242 matches the Rfam family "5.8S ribosomal RNA", at positions 1 to 49 of the family's 154-position model. The record is from RNAcentral. Lineage: Eukaryota; Fungi.